RNAcentral lists this ribosomal RNA (253 nucleotides) under uncultured prokaryote. Its description in RNAcentral is "partial 16S ribosomal RNA". It matches the Rfam family "Bacterial small subunit ribosomal RNA", at positions 525 to 777 of the family's 1533-position model. The record is from RNAcentral.
ACGUAGGUGGCAAGCGUUGUCCGGAUUUACUGGGCGUAAAGCGCGCGCAGGCGGGUUGGUCAGUCUGGGGUGAAAUCUCACGGCUCAACCGUGAGGGGUCCCUGGAUACUGCCGGCCUUGAGGGGCUCAGAGGAGAGUGGAAUUCCGGGUGUAGUGGUGGAAUGCGUAGAUAUCCGGAGGAACACCAGCGGCGAAAGCGGCUCUCUGGGGGCAACCUGACGCUGAGGCGCGAAAGCGUGGGGAGCGAACCGGA